CAGUAAAAGAAAAUAUCCGAACGAAAAAUGAUGAAUAAACAAGCUUGAAUUUAUU
This 55-nucleotide transfer RNA is filed under the name Liposcelis bostrychophila. RNAcentral's name for it is "tRNA-Glu". The record is from RNAcentral. Lineage: Eukaryota; Metazoa; Arthropoda; Insecta; Psocodea; Liposcelididae.